CUACGGGAGGCAGCAGUGAGGAAUAUUGCACAAUGGGGGGAACCCUGAUGCAGCAACGCCGCGUGGAGGAUGACGCAUUUCGGUGUGUAAACUCCUUUUAUAUGUCAAGAAAAUGACGGUAGCAUAUGAAUAAGCACCGGCUAACUCCGUGCCAGCAGCCGCGGUAAUACGGAGGGUGCAAGCGUUACUCGGAAUCACUGGGCGUAAAGGAGGCGUAGGAGGGUUGGAAAGUCAGGUGUGAAAUCCUACAGCUUAACUGUAGAACUGCACUUGAAACUUCUAAUCUAGAGUAUGGGAGGGGGAGAUGGAAUUAGUGGUGUAGGGGUAAAAUCCGUAGAUAUCACUAGGAAUACCUAAAGCGAAGGCGAUCUCCUGGAACAUUACUGACGCUAAGGCGUGAAAGCGUGGGGAGCAAACAGGAUUAGAUACCCCGGUAGUC
RNAcentral lists this ribosomal RNA (439 nucleotides) under uncultured bacterium. Its description in RNAcentral is "partial 16S ribosomal RNA". It matches the Rfam family "Bacterial small subunit ribosomal RNA", at positions 339 to 795 of the family's 1533-position model. The record is from RNAcentral.